RNAcentral lists this long non-coding RNA (3562 nucleotides) under Nicotiana tabacum (common tobacco). Its description in RNAcentral is "long non-coding RNA (NTAB_LNC012662)". Lineage: Eukaryota; Viridiplantae; Streptophyta; Magnoliopsida; Solanales; Solanaceae. The record is from RNAcentral.
AGGAGAUCAACCAUUUUUAACCAAAAAAUUAACCAUCCCGCGUCGUUCUUCUUCAACAAAAGAACAUCGAUAGCAGCCAUUUUUUUCUAACUUUCAGCAACCUAACGCUAAGACCCUUAAGAUGGAAGCCAUUUUCUAAAAAGAAAAAGCCGAACCAAAACUCCUAAAUAGAGAACGGCAUAAAACAGAAAACAAAAAAAGAGUCCAAAGAAAGGGAAAAACGAGAGUGAGAGGGGACGGCAAUUCAGUCCAACAAACAUAGGGGAAAAGCUCGAGGUUAGGUUGAAAAUCGACGGAGAUUUGGGAAAUUCUUUUGGUCUUUUGAUUACUUCUUUAAGCUUUGUUUCUGCUCAUCCUCACAAUUUCAAAAUACAAAUGAAGAAGAAAAAGAAAAAAUGCUUCUGUUAGUUGGUGAUUAAAUUUCAGAAAUACCAAAAUAUACACACAUAUUACUGUUAGUUUCUUCCUUUUGAUGUGAGUAUUCAAAUAUGGAGUUUGAUUGAGACUUGAUACGCCGUUGAGUCGAAGUUGUCAUUCAUGUUUCCAUCACGGUUCACGGAUCAUCUUUGGUGUUGUUGUUCUCGGUUGAUUUUUCAGAGCUGAGGUUCUGUAUUUACAGAUUCUUCUACACUAAUUUAAGAGAUUUUACUCCUGAGGUCCAUUCUUAUCUAUUCUCUAUUCGUUUACCCUCUUUUAACUUUAUGUGUAUGAUUUCUUGUUGAUACUGCUUGUUAAUUAGUUUUUGUGAGUGCUCUGUUUGGUUGUUGAUUUCUGCCAUCCAAAACACUUUUCCAAACAAAGUUACUUUGAUGGAAUCUUCUAUUUAAGGUCUAUAUCUUCAUCCUUUCCCAUGUGUUGUUUAAGCCUGAAAUUAAAUAAUGGCUGGGUGAAAUAGGUUUAGGACUUAAAAUUUGGUUAAUAAAUUAAAAGAGAAAUUGAAUUUCAGUUUUAUUCUGUGACGUAAAAAUUUAAAGUUUUUUUAGGUGAUGUAAACCCGUCUCGAAUUUUGGUAUUCUCAUAGAUUUGUCGUGUCCUCGUGUUAGAGAAAUAUGGCGCUUAAAUAUUUGAGCAUGAGUGAUUAGAAAGUUCGUAUAACAGGCUAUCUGAAAGCUUUUUCCUACUUUCCUUUUGACUUGAGAUUAAAUUUUCCAAAAAAAUUAUUAAAUUGUUUGGUCAAUUGCUUGAUGUUUUUCCGAUUGUAUGGAUUAGUUAUGUCAUUUUUGCUUCAAUAGUUCUGCUAGUAUUAAGCUAAUAUUCAUAUUAUAAGUGCAAAACAUUUCUAUCAUUUUUUUACUUCUUUUUUUCCUCGUUUGGUUCCUAUUUCUGGAAGUCAUUGUUUGUUAGUUUAGGAGCAUAAAGUGAUGAUCUUUUAGAAGUAGAAUAUUCUCUAUUCGUGGGAGUGGGAAAUGACCAAAGCCCAUUAGUAAUUAAUGGUUCUCAUGUUUCAGGAUUGGGCUUGGUCAAAUGCAUGAAAUAAAAGUUAAAAAGUAUAUGAGCAUGAAAUCUCUUUUAGCAAAAGUGUUCCAUAAUCGCAGGCCUUUCACGCGCAAUUUCAAAGUAGUUUAGAAAAUGAUUCACAACCCUCGUAGUUUGCUUUAGGCGCGAUUAAUGAAUCAUCACGGCUAUGGGUACGGUUCCCAUGGUAUGGUCGUGAUACAUAAUUUCCAAAUUUGGGUGUGCAUUUCAUGUGACCCGGCAACAAUUUCCAACAAUGUUAAAUAAAACGUGUCGUGAACCGUGGGUGCAUUUCAUGUAGCAUGGCUUAUGAUGUGUUUUAAAUAACCUUGAAUUUUUCUAAAAAAUAUUAAAAGCGGUUAGAAAGUUAAAAAUUCACGUAGGUUUUAAAUGUGUAAUUAAUCAGAUAAUUAGGCCAAUUGUUAAUAGUUGAACGACCGUGCUAAAACCACGGAACCCAAGAAUGCCUAACACCUUCUCCCGGGUUAACAAAAUUCCUUACCCGGAUUUCUAUGUUCGCAGACCAUAAUUAGAGUCAACCUUCCUCAAUUCGGGAUUUAACCGGUAACUUGGGACACCAUAAAUUAUCUCAAGUGGCGACUCUGAUUUUAAUAUAAAUAAUUCCGUUUCGAUUGUCACUUAAAUUCGAAAAAACUCCAUAUCAUCCCUUCCUGGGGGUGGUAAAAAAGGAGGUUUGAUAGCUCUGGCGACUCUGCUGGGGAUAAGAACCCAUAACUUCUGGUUCAGGGUUAAGAAUACGAGCUUAGAAUAUCUGUUAUAAUUGGCUUUAUUUAUUAUCUGAUUUUUUACAUGUUUGGGCUUAAUGUGAUAAAUGCCGCUUUUACUGCUUUGAAAUUAUUUAAACUAUAUAUAAACUGCUACGAAACCCUCCUCUCUCUGAAUCUUCUAAAUCAUCUGGAAAGUGUGCACUUCGUGUGACUCCUUUUCUGUUAGAGUUAUAUCCCAAUUUUAGAACGAGGUUCAGACAAGUUGCAAAGCCGGUGAAGCUUCUGUAUUCCGGUACGCUACCCCCCCCCCCACCCGGCUUGAGCUGUCCGCUCGGGUAAGCCAGGUCUAGAACAAAUAAACCCAGGUUUUUGAACCUAGAAUAAAAUAGCCUCAUGCCGGAUCCCUAGUAGGAACUCUUGUUUGCAUCACGUGCAUCUGACUUUGCGGACUCAACACAGGGGUUAGGUCUGUCUAGGACAGGUGUACCCAAAAAUAAAAGGCUAUCCUGUUGCAUCUUAUGUGCUACAUGUUGCAAUUUUCAAGGGUAAAAGGAGUCAUUUGGCGGACCAACGAGGUUUGAGGAUAAAUGUGAAAGAAAAGAGGUUUAGGUAUAAAAAUAAAGCAAGUAGGGCCCAAUUAUAUUUUCUGUCACAUGUUUGUUAAGAAAAACAAAAACAUGAAAAAUUCAAAAAAAAAAAAAGAUUUUAGCACUUUUUCAUCAUUUUCCAAAAAAAAAUCAAAAAAAGAGGGAAAAAAAUAAAAUUCAAAAAGGGCUUACAUAUUUCAUCAUUUUCAAGGAAAAGACAAAAAAAAUAUAUUUUCUCUAAAUUAGUUGUUUUUUUAUUUCUCGCCCCUAUCCAAUCGGCCCGAACUACGCAUACCUGAUUCUCGUCUUUCCGGGCGUGUUACGUAGGCAACCCACAUAGGGUCCGGUCUUCCUAGUUAAUCUUAGGUUCUUGGCUUUGCGGGGUCUUAGCCAGAUUUUGCACUUCUAGCCACCUUUUGGCCAAAUAAGCCAUUUUGCAAAAAUAGCCACAAUCAUGUUUUGCAUGUGUCCAAUAGGAAGGGUUAUUAUCUCACAUAACGUUCUAGGUCUUUAACUUAUUUGAUUUUAAUUUUCUCAUACAGGUGUGGGUUUACUUACGGGACUUUGAGCAUGACAGACACCCCAGGACCAUCCAGUCAAGACCGCUCAUUCAGGAGUUGCUUAAGGAGAUUUUUUUUAUGUUUUGAGUUUGUUCUUCAUUUUAUGUCAUCUUUUACUUUCUAGUUUUGUACAGUAAUGUUGAGUCUUUUGUUAUUGUAUUACCUAUUUUGUAUUUGAAAAAUGUGUUAUAAAUCAAAAAAAAAUUGCAUUUUUAUAUUUCUGUUAUGUCAC